RNAcentral lists this ribosomal RNA (1281 nucleotides) under uncultured bacterium. RNAcentral's name for it is "bacterial SSU rRNA". It matches the Rfam family "Bacterial small subunit ribosomal RNA", at positions 53 to 1352 of the family's 1533-position model. The record is from RNAcentral.
ACAUGCAAGUCGAGCGAGGAACUUCGGUUCCUAGCGGCGGACGGGUGAGUAACACGUGGGUAACCUGCCUCAUAGAGGGGAAUAGCCUCCCGAAAGGGAGAUUAAUACCGCAUAACACUGCGGUUUCGCAUGAAACUGCAGUUAAAGGAGCAAUCCGCUAUGAGAUGGACCCGCGGCGCAUUAGCUAGUUGGUGAGGUAAAGGCUCACCAAGGCCACGAUGCGUAGCCGACCUGAGAGGGUGAUCGGCCACAUUGGAACUGAGACACGGUCCAGACUCCUACGGGAGGCAGCAGUGGGGAAUAUUGCACAAUGGGCGAAAGCCUGAUGCAGCAACGCCGCGUGGAGGAUGAAUGCCUUCGGGUUGUAAACUCUUGUCUUCUGGGACGAUAAUGACGGUACCAGAGGAGGAAGCCACGGCUAACUACGUGCCAGCAGCCGCGGUAAUACGUAGGUGGCGAGCGUUGUCCGGAUUUACUGGGCGUAAAGGAUGCGUAGGCGGAUAUUUAAGUGGGAUGUGAAAUACCUGGGCUUAACCUGGGUGCUGCAUUCCAAACUGGGUAUCUAGAGUGCGGGAGAGGAAAGUGGAAUUCCUGGUGUAGCGGUGGAAUGCGCAGAGAUCAGGAGGAAUACCGAAGGCGAAGGCAGUCUUCUAAGCCGGUUAUUGACGCUAAACUGCGAAGGUGUGGGUAUCAAACAGGAUUAGAUACCCUGGUAGUCCACACAGUAAACGAUAAUCACUAGGUGUCGGGUUCUUAACAAUGGAUUCGGUGCCGUAGCUAACGCGUUAAGUGAUUCGCCUGGGGAGUACGAUCGCAAGGUUGAAACUCAAAGGAAUUGACGGGGGCCCGCACAAGCGGUGGAGCAUGUGGUUUAAUUCGAGGCAACGCGAAGAACCUUACCCGGGUUUGACAUCCGUAGAAUCCUUCAGAGAUGAGGGAGUGCCGGUUUACCGGAGCUACGAGACAGGUGCUGCAUGGCUGUCGUCAGCUCGUGUCGUGAGAUGUUGGGUUAAGUCCCGCAACGAGCGCAACCCCUGCUUUCAGUUACCAUCAUUCAGUUGGGGACUCUGAAGGGACCGCUGCGGUAACAACGCAGAGGAAGAUGGGGACGACGUCAAGUCAUCAUGGUCCUUAUGUCCGGGGCUACACACGUGCUACAAUGGUAGUUACAGAGGGCAGCGAAGCGGUGACGUGGAGCGAAUCUCAGAAAAGCUACCUCAGUUCGGAUUGAGGUCUGCAACUCGACCUCAUGAAGCAGGAAUCGCUAGUAUCGCGCAACAU